Molecule: ribosomal RNA, 441 nt
Filed under: uncultured bacterium
Lineage: Bacteria
Description: partial 16S ribosomal RNA
Rfam family: Bacterial small subunit ribosomal RNA
Source: RNAcentral
CCUACGGGAGGCAGCAGUGGGGAAUAUUGCACAAUGGGGGAAACCCUGAUGCAGCAACGCCGCGUGAAGGAAGACGGUUUUCGGAUUGUAAACUUCUGUUCUUAGUGAAGAAUAAUGGUGGUAGCUAAGGAUCAAGCUACGGCUAACUACGUGCCAGCAGCCGCGGUAAUACGUAGGUGGCAAGCGUUGUUCGGAGUUACUGGGUGUAAAGGGACCGCAGGCGGGAAGCUAAGUCUGAUGUGAAAGCGACGGGCUUAACUGGUGGACUGCAUUUGAAACUGGGAUACUUGAGUGAAGUAGAGGAGAGCGGAAUUCCGAGUGUAGCGGUGAAAUGCGUAGAUAUACGGAAGAACACCAGUGGCGAAAGCGGCCAUCUGGGCUGUAACUGACGCUGAGGCUCGAAAGUGUGGGUAGCAAACAGGAUUAGAUACCCGUGUAGUC